Molecule: non-coding RNA, 973 nt
Organism: Lipotes vexillifer (Yangtze River dolphin)
Lineage: Eukaryota; Metazoa; Chordata; Mammalia; Artiodactyla; Lipotidae
Source: the annotation of a RefSeq genome assembly
CAAAGGUUUGGUCCCAGCCUUUCCAUUAGUUCCUAACAGACUUACACAUGCAAGCAUCCGCAUCCCGGUGAGAAUGCCCCCAAAGAUCACGAGGAUCAAAAGGAGCGGGCAUCAAGCACACUACAUCAGUAGCUCACAACGCCUUGCUUAGCCACACCCCCACGGGAUACAGCAGUGAUAAAAAUUAAGCUAUAAACGAAAGUUUGACUAAGUCAUGUUAAUUAGGGUUGGUAAACUUCGUGCCAGCCACCGCGGUCAUACGAUUAACCCGAAUUAAUGGACACACGGCGUAAAGAGUGUAAAGAAACUAAAUAAAAUAAAGCCAAAUACUAAUUAAGCCGUAGAAAGCCAUAAUUAAAAUUAAGCUAAACCACGAAAGUGACUUUAUCACAAUCCGAUUACACGACAACUAAGACCCAAACUGGGAUUAGAUACCCCACUAUGCUUAGUCGUAAACCAAAGUAGUCCUGAAACAAGACUAUUCGCCAGAGUACUACCGGCAACAGCCCAAAACUCAAAGGACUUGGCGGUGCUUCAUAUCCUUCUAGAGGAGCCUGUUCUAUAAACGAUAAACCCCGAUCAACCUCACCAACCCUUGCUACUUCAGUCUAUAUACCGCCAUCUUCAGCAAACCCUAAUGAAGGCACAAAAGUAAGCACAAUUAUUAUACAUAAAAACGUUAGGUCAAGGUGUAACUCAUGAGUUGGGAAGUAAUGGGCUACAUUUUCUACAGCAAGAAUACCACUUAUAAACCACACGAAAGUUUUUAUGAAACCUAAAAACCAAAGGAGGAUUUAGCAGUAAAUUAAGACUAGAGCGCUUAAUUGAAUUAGGCCAUGAAGCACGCACACACCGCCCGUCACCCUCCUCAAGUAUCAAGCAAGGCCCUAGAUCACUAACAAAUGCCAAGCAACUCCACAAGAGGAGACAAGUCGUAACAAGGUAAGCAUACUGGAAGGUGUGCUUGGACAAA